Molecule: ribosomal RNA, 778 nt
Filed under: uncultured Neocallimastigales
Lineage: Eukaryota; Fungi; Neocallimastigomycota; Neocallimastigomycetes; Neocallimastigales
Description: partial large subunit ribosomal RNA
Rfam family: Eukaryotic large subunit ribosomal RNA
Source: RNAcentral
GUACACGCUGUGACUAGCAUAUCAAUAAGCGGAGGAAAAGAAACUAACAAGGAUUCCCCCUAGUAACGGCGAGUGAAGCGGGAAGAGCUCAAAUUUGAAAUCUUAAAGGGUUUCCCUUUACGAAUUGUAGUUUAAAGAAGUGUUUUCUGUUGAGGUUUUGGUAAAAGUUCUUUGGAAUAGGACAUCAUAGAGGGUGAGAAUCCCCGUAUUUGACCUUUACUUUCAACUUUGUGAUACACUUUCAAAGAGUCGGAUUGUUUGGGAAUGCAGUCCAAAAUGGGUGGUAAAUUUCAUCUAAAGCUAAAUAUUGGCGAGAGACCGAUAGCGAACAAGUACCGUGAGGGAAAGAUGAAAAGAACUUUGAAAAGAGAGUUAAACAGUACGUGAAAUUGUCAAAAGGGAAGCGUUUGACACCAGUGUUGUUUUUCUGGAAAUCAAUUAAAGAACUGUUUAUGCUAAGCUUGUUUAGACUUUAUCAGCUAAUCUGUUUAGUUUUGAGCUUUUCUUUAAUGCACUUUUCAGUUAACAAGUCAACAUCAAUUUCUUUUGCUGUAAAAAAGCUUGAGGAAGGUGGCUUGAGAUUCGUCUUAAGUGUUUAUAGCCUCUUGCCUAUGCAGUCGGAGAGAUUGAGGUCUGCAGCGUAGAUCCUUCGGGGCUAAAUGCAUUUGUGCUAAGUUAUAGCAUUUUAUAGACAACUUGUUGACUAUGAUUUGUCUUGUAGCUUACUCGCUUAUGUUAUUUUACCUACGCUUAGGAUGUUGACGCGCGUGUGUGCGUG